UGAAGAACGUAGCAAAAUGCGAUACUUGGUGUGAAUUGCAGAAUCCCGUGAACCAUCGAGUUUUUGAACGCAAGUUGCGCCCGAAGCCAUCCGGCCGAGGGCACGUCUGCCUGGGCGUCACGCAUC
This 126-nucleotide ribosomal RNA is filed under the name Gundelia tournefortii. RNAcentral's name for it is "5.8S ribosomal RNA". It matches the Rfam family "5.8S ribosomal RNA", at positions 37 to 154 of the family's 154-position model. Rfam says of the family: 5.8S ribosomal RNA (5.8S rRNA) is a component of the large subunit of the eukaryotic ribosome. It is transcribed by RNA polymerase I as part of the 45S precursor that also contains 18S and 28S rRNA. Functionally, it is thought that 5.8S rRNA may be involved in ribosome translocation. The record is from RNAcentral. Lineage: Eukaryota; Viridiplantae; Streptophyta; Magnoliopsida; Asterales; Asteraceae. RNAcentral also lists the same sequence under 3 other names.